AGCCUGCGCCGGAGCCGGGGCCUGAGCCCGGGCCGCGCGGGCCGCGAACUCGUCGAGCUGCGCGUGCGGCCGGUGCUCAACCUGCCGGGUCCUGGCCCCGCGCCUCCCCGCGCGCCUGGA
This is a microRNA precursor of Rhinopithecus bieti (black snub-nosed monkey), 120 nucleotides long. The record is from Ensembl. NCBI's taxonomy places the organism in Eukaryota, Metazoa, Chordata, Mammalia, Primates, Cercopithecidae.